Molecule: transfer RNA, 77 nt
Filed under: Alphaproteobacteria bacterium MarineAlpha5_Bin10
Lineage: Bacteria; Pseudomonadati; Pseudomonadota; Alphaproteobacteria
Also listed under: 2 other names
Description: tRNA-Arg
Rfam family: tRNA
About the family: Transfer RNA (tRNA) molecules are approximately 80 nucleotides in length. Their secondary structure includes four short double-helical elements and three loops (D, anti-codon, and T loops). Further hydrogen bonds mediate the characteristic L-shaped molecular structure. tRNAs have two regions of fundamental functional importance: the anti-codon, which is responsible for specific mRNA codon recognition, and the 3' end, to which the tRNAs corresponding amino acid is attached (by aminoacyl-tRNA synthetases). tRNAs cope with the degeneracy of the genetic code in two manners: having more than one tRNA (with a specific anti-codon) for a particular amino acid; and 'wobble' base-pairing, i.e. permitting non-standard base-pairing at the 3rd anti-codon position.
Source: RNAcentral
GCGCCCGUAGCUCAGAUGGAUAGAGCACAGAAUUCCUAAUUCUGGGGUCGGAUGUUCGAAUCAUCUCGGGCGCGCCA